This 463-nucleotide ribosomal RNA is filed under the name uncultured bacterium. Its description in RNAcentral is "bacterial SSU rRNA". It matches the Rfam family "Bacterial small subunit ribosomal RNA", at positions 8 to 507 of the family's 1533-position model. The record is from RNAcentral.
AGAGUUUGAUCCUGGCUCAGGAUGAAUGCUGGCGGCGUGCCUAAUACAUGCAAGUCGAGCGGUAAGGCCCUUCGGGGUACACGAGCGGCGGACGGCUGAGUAACGCGUGGGAACAUGCCCCAAAGUGAGGGAUAACGCACCGAAAGGUGUGCUAAUACCGCAUAUGGUCUUCGGAUUAAAGGAUUUAUCCGCUUUGGGAGUGGCCCGCGUACGAUUAGAUUGUUGGUGAGGUAACGGGCUCACCAAGUCGACGAUCGUUAACUGGUCUGAGAGGAUGAUCAGUCAGACUGGAACUGAGACACGGUCCAGACUCCUACGGGAGGCAGCAGUAAGGAAUCUUCCACAAUGGGCGAAAGCCUGAUGGAGCAACGCCGCGUGCAGGAUGAAGGCCCUCGGGUCGUAAACUGCUUUAUGAGUGAAGAAUAUGACGGUAACUCAUGAAUAAGCACCGGCUAACUACGUG